ACUCCUACGGGAGGCAGCAGUAGGGAAUAUUGGACAAUGGGCGAAAGCCUGAUCCAGCAAUGCCGCGUGAGUGAUGAAGGCCUUAGGUUGUAAAGCUCUUUUACCCGUAGAUGAUAAUGACAGUAUCGGGAGAAUAAGCUCCGGCUAACUCCGUGCCAGCAGCCGCGGUAAUACGGAGGGGAGCUAGCGUUGUUCGGAAUUACUGGGCGUAAAGCGCACGUAGGCGGCGAUUUAAGUCAGAGGUGAAAGCCCGGGGCUCAACCCCGGAACUGCCUUUGAGACUGGAUUGCUAGAAUCUUGGAGAGGCGAGUGGAAUUCCGAGUGUAGAGGUGAAAUUCGUAGAUAUUCGGAAGAACACCAGUGGCGAAGGCGGCUCGCUGGACAAGUAUUGACGCUGAGAUGCGAAAGCGUGGGGAGCAAACAGGAUUAGAUACCCUGGUAGACUGUCA
This 449-nucleotide ribosomal RNA is filed under the name uncultured bacterium. RNAcentral describes it as "bacterial SSU rRNA". It matches the Rfam family "Bacterial small subunit ribosomal RNA", at positions 335 to 802 of the family's 1533-position model. The record is from RNAcentral.